This 532-nucleotide ribosomal RNA is filed under the name uncultured bacterium. RNAcentral's name for it is "bacterial SSU rRNA". It matches the Rfam family "Bacterial small subunit ribosomal RNA", at positions 567 to 1098 of the family's 1533-position model. The record is from RNAcentral.
GAGCGCAGGCGGUUUGAUAAGUCUGAAGUUAAAGGCUGUGGCUCAACCAUAGUUCGCUUUGGAAACUGUCAAACUUGAGUGCAGAAGGGGAGAGUGGAAUUCCAUGUGUAGCGGUGAAAUGCGUAGAUAUAUGGAGGAACACCGGUGGCGAAAGCGGCUCUCUGGUCUAUAACUGACGCUGAGGCUCGAAAGCGUGGGGAGCGAACAGGAUUAGAUACCCUGGUAGUCCACGCCGUAAACGAUGAGUGCUAGGUGUUGGAUCCUUUCCGGGAUUCAGUGCCGCAGCUAACGCAUUAAGCACUCCGCCUGGGGAGUACGACCGCAAGGUUGAAACUCAAAGGAAUUGACGGGGGCCCGCACAAGCGGUGGAGUAUGUGGUUUAAUUCGAUGCAACGCGAAGAACCUUACCAGGACUUGACAUCCCGAUGCUAUUUCUAGAGAUAGAAAGUUACUUCGGUACAUCGGUGACAGGUGGUGCAUGGGUUGUCGUCAGCUCGUGUCGUGAGAUGUUGGGUUAAUCCCCGNAACGACG